This 460-nucleotide ribosomal RNA is filed under the name uncultured bacterium. RNAcentral's name for it is "partial 16S ribosomal RNA". It matches the Rfam family "Bacterial small subunit ribosomal RNA", at positions 338 to 795 of the family's 1533-position model. The record is from RNAcentral.
CCUACGGGCGGCAGCAGUGAGGAAUAUUGGUCAAUGGGCUUACGCCUGAACCAGCCAAGUCGCGUGAGGGAAGACUGCCCUAUGGGUUGUAAACCUCUUUUGUCAGGGAGCAACGCCGGCUACGUGUAGCCUGACUUAUAGUCCCUGAAGAAAAAGCAUCGGCUAACUCCGUGCCAGCAGCCGCGGUAAUACGGAGGAUGCGAGCGUUAUCCGGAUUUAUUGGGUUAAAGGGGUGCGUAGGCGGAAUGCCAAGUCAGCGGUAAAAUCGCGGGGCUAAACCUCGAUGCGCCGUUGAAACUGUCGAGCUGGAGUGAAGUAGAGGUAGGCGGAAUUCCCGGUGUAGCGGUGAAAUGCGUAGAGAUCGGGAGGAACACCAGUGGCGAAGGCGGCCUACUGGGCUGUAACUGACGCUGAGGCACGAAAGCGUGGGUAGCAAACAGGAUUAGAUACCCCUGUAGUC